Molecule: ribosomal RNA, 496 nt
Filed under: uncultured bacterium
Lineage: Bacteria
Description: partial 16S ribosomal RNA
Rfam family: Bacterial small subunit ribosomal RNA
Source: RNAcentral
GAUGAACGCUGGCGGCGUGCCUAAUACAUGCAAGUCGAGCGAACAGACGAGGAGCUUGCUCCUCUGACGUUAGCGGCGGACGGGUGAGUAACACGUGGAUAACCUACCUAUAAGACUGGGAUAACUUCGGGAAACCGGAGCUAAUACCGGAUAAUAUAUUGAACCGCAUGGUUCAAUAGUGAAAGACGGUUUUGCUGUCACUUAUAGAUGGAUCCGCGCCGCAUUAGCUAGUUGGUAAGGUAACGGCUUACCAAGGCAACGAUGCGUAGCCGACCUGAGAGGGUGAUCGGCCACACUGGAACUGGGACACGGUCCAGACUCCUACGGGAGGCAGCAGUAGGGAAUCUUCCGCAAUGGGCGAAGGCCUGACGGGGCAACGCCGCGUGAGUGAUGAAGGUCUUCGGAUCGUAAAACUCUGUUAUUAGGAAAGAACAAAUGUGUAAGUAACUAUGCACGUCUUGACGGUACCUAAUCAGAAAGCCACGGCUAACUACGU